This 1689-nucleotide ribosomal RNA is filed under the name Enterobacter cloacae. RNAcentral describes it as "bacterial LSU rRNA". It matches the Rfam family "Bacterial large subunit ribosomal RNA", at positions 1271 to 2925 of the family's 2925-position model. The record is from RNAcentral. Lineage: Bacteria; Pseudomonadati; Pseudomonadota; Gammaproteobacteria; Enterobacterales; Enterobacteriaceae.
UGCUGGAGGUAUCAGAAGUGCGAAUGCUGACAUAAGUAACGAUAAAGCGGGUGAAAAGCCCGCUCGCCGGAAGACCAAGGGUUCCUGUCCAACGUUAAUCGGGGCAGGGUGAGUCGACCCCUAAGGCGAGGCCGAAAGGCGUAGUCGAUGGGAAACAGGUUAAUAUUCCUGUACUUGGUGUUACUGCGAAGGGGGGACGGAGAAGGCUAUGUUAGCCGGGCGACGGUUGUCCCGGUUUAAGCAUGUAGGCGGAGGUUCCAGGUAAAUCCGGUACCUUUUAACGCUGAGGUGUGAUGACGAGGCACUACGGUGCUGAAGUAACAAAUGCCCUGCUUCCAGGAAAAGCCUCUAAGCAUCAGGUAACACGAAAUCGUACCCCAAACCGACACAGGUGGUCAGGUAGAGAAUACCAAGGCGCUUGAGAGAACUCGGGUGAAGGAACUAGGCAAAAUGGUGCCGUAACUUCGGGAGAAGGCACGCUGAUAUGUAGGUGAAGCCCCUGCGGGUGGAGCUGAAAUCAGUCGAAGAUACCAGCUGGCUGCAACUGUUUAUUAAAAACACAGCACUGUGCAAACACGAAAGUGGACGUAUACGGUGUGACGCCUGCCCGGUGCCGGAAGGUUAAUUGAUGGGGUUAGCGGCAACGCGAAGCUCUUGAUCGAAGCCCCGGUAAACGGCGGCCGUAACUAUAACGGUCCUAAGGUAGCGAAAUUCCUUGUCGGGUAAGUUCCGACCUGCACGAAUGGCGUAAUGAUGGCCAGGCUGUCUCCACCCGAGACUCAGUGAAAUUGAACUCGCUGUGAAGAUGCAGUGUACCCGCGGCAAGACGGAAAGACCCCGUGAACCUUUACUAUAGCUUGACACUGAACACUGGUCCUUGAUGUGUAGGAUAGGUGGGAGGCUUUGAAGCGUGGACGCCAGUCUGCGUGGAGCCGUCCUUGAAAUACCACCCUUUAAUGGCUGGUGUUCUAACGUAGACCCGUAAUCCGGGUUGCGGACAGUGUCUGGUGGGUAGUUUGACUGGGGCGGUCUCCUCCCAAAGAGUAACGGAGGAGCACGAAGGUUAGCUAAUCCUGGUCGGACAUCAGGAGGUUAGUGCAAUGGCAUAAGCUAGCUUGACUGCGAGAGUGACGGCUCGAGCAGGUGCGAAAGCAGGUCAUAGUGAUCCGGUGGUUCUGAAUGGAAGGGCCAUCGCUCAACGGAUAAAAGGUACUCCGGGGAUAACAGGCUGAUACCGCCCAAGAGUUCAUAUCGACGGCGGUGUUUGGCACCUCGAUGUCGGCUCAUCACAUCCUGGGGCUGAAGUAGGUCCCAAGGGUAUGGCUGUUCGCCAUUUAAAGUGGUACGCGAGCUGGGUUUAGAACGUCGUGAGACAGUUCGGUCCCUAUCUGCCGUGGGCGCUGGAGAAUUGAGGGGGGCUGCUCCUAGUACGAGAGGACCGGAGUGGACGCAUCACUGGUGUUCGGGUUGUCAUGCCAAUGGCACUGCCCGGUAGCUAAAUGCGGAAGAGAUAAGUGCUGAAAGCAUCUAAGCACGAAACUUGCCCCGAGAUGAGUUCUCCCUGAGACUUAAAGUCUCCUGAAGGAACGUUGAAGACGACGACGUUGAUAGGUCGGGUGUGUAAGCGCAGCGAUGCGUUGAGCUAACCGAUACUAAUGAACCGUGAGGCUUAACCUUACAACGCCGAAG